GUUAGGAAUUUUGCGCAAUGGACGAAAGUCUGACGCAGCAACGCCGCGUGGGUGAAGAAGGCCUUCGGGUUGUAAAGCCCUUUUGGCAGGGGAGAAAAAAAUGACAGUACCUGCAGAAGAAGCACCGGCAAACCAUGUGCCAGCAGCCGCGGUAAUACAUGGGGUGCAAGCGUUACUCGGAAUCACUGGGCGUAAAGAGCGCGUAGGCGGCUUGGUAAGUCUGAUGUGAAAGCCCCGGACUCAAUUCGGGAAGUGCAUUGGAUACUGCUAAGCUAGAGUACAGGAGAGGUGAACGGAAUUCCUGGUGUAGAGGUGAAAUUCGUAGAUAUCAGGAGGAACAACAGAGGCGAAGGCGGUUCACUGGACUGUUACUGACGCUGAGGCGCGAAAGCGUGGGGAGCAAACAGGAUUAGAUACCCUGGUAGUCC
This 428-nucleotide ribosomal RNA is filed under the name uncultured bacterium. RNAcentral describes it as "bacterial SSU rRNA". It matches the Rfam family "Bacterial small subunit ribosomal RNA", at positions 354 to 796 of the family's 1533-position model. The record is from RNAcentral.